RNAcentral lists this long non-coding RNA (2727 nucleotides) under Sus scrofa (pig). RNAcentral describes it as "lncRNA (ENSSSCG00065044621.1)". The record is from RNAcentral. Lineage: Eukaryota; Metazoa; Chordata; Mammalia; Artiodactyla; Suidae.
GGCCAAAUCCUUAAACCACUGAGAAAGGCUGGAGAUUGAACCUGCAUCCUCACGGACAAUAUGUUGGGUUCUUAACCCUCUGAGCCACAACAGGAACUCUUCUAUUUUGUUCUUGGUUUUGUUUCUUAGAUUCCAAUAUAAGUGAACCAAUACAGUUGGGGUUUUUGUUUUUUUGUUGUUUUGGAUCUGACUCCAAAGGCAUGAAAAACAAACAGAAAAAAACAAAUAGAACUACAUCAAACCAAAAAGUUUCUGCACAGCAAGGGUAACCAGCAACAAAAUGAAGACGACCCACAGAAUGGAAGAAGACAUUUGUAAAGCAUAUUAAAAAGGGGUUAAUAUCCAAAAUAUGUAAAACAUACAAUUUAAUAACAAAAAAACAAUCUGAUUAAAAAAUGGGUAAUCUCAGUAGAUAUUUUUUCCAAAGAAGACAUAAAAAUGGCCAACAGGCAGUAAAAGAUGCUCAAUAUCACCAAUCAUCAGGAAAAUGCAAAUCAAAAUCACCGUAAGAUUUUUGGAGUUCCCGUUGUGGUGCAGUGGUUAACGAAUCCGACUAGGAACCAUGAGGUUGCGGGUUCCAUCCCUGCCCUCGCUCAGUGGGUUAACGAUCCGGCGUUGCCGUGAGCUGUGGUGUAGGUUGCAGACGCGGCUCGGAUCCCGAGUUGCUGUGUCUCUGGCUUUGGCUGGAGGUUACAGCUCCGAUUCGACCCCUAGCCUGGGAACCGCCAUAUGCCACCGGAGCAGCCCAAAGAAAUAGCAAAAAGACAAAAAACAAAACAAANUAUAAAAUACAUCUAGUCUUCUAUUUCUAAUAAAUGUUAACCAUUUUAACAGGGUUUCCAGUAGCUUGAUAAAGAAUUUGCUGCUAUUUUUAAAGAGUUACAACUAGAUUUUGUAUUUAAAGUACAAAAUAAACACACACUAUAUUAAUUCAUUAUUCUACAAGGUUUGUAGAAUAACAAUGACACUACCUAUAUAGCAUAAGAAUUAAAAUCACUUUUGCAUGGUAGAUAAAUUUCAAAAAAAUGGGUUUAAUUACAUUUUAUGAGCGAUUUGCAAAUAACAUGGUAAUAUAUCAGAUUUCUACUAAAGCUCUUUGAUUUCUUAGCCACUGCCUUAAGACUAGAAAAUGUUUAUAACCAGAAAUCUAGAUUAGUCAUGCAGUUUAGAUAAUCUAGAUAUUGCAUAGAGAAAACCAAAUAAAAUUCCAUACUCAAAAGCCACAAAUUGUUAACACACCAAAUAAAGAAUAACUUUUAGUGAAUCUUUGACAGAAGUUCUACCUGUACAUAGAUACCAUGGAAGAAAGGAAGAAAUUGUUUAAGAAUAAAGCGUAGAGACACAGCAGCCCCACCCCCAACUAUCCGCAGAAAUUCCUUCCAAGCUGAUAGGAGAUGCCCAAAACUGAAAACGCGAAUUUACCCAACCCUCCAUAUACUAUGUUUUUUACUGUACAGACAUACCUGUGAGAAAUUUUAACUUAUAAAUUAGGCACAGUAAGAAAGUGACAACAAUAAUUAAUCAUCGAAUAGAACAAUUAGAACAAUACACUGUAAUAAAAGUUAUGUGAAUGUGGCCUCUCAAACUCUCUUAUUAAACGUUAAUGCCCUUUCCAUCUUCACUUACCACUUACUGCGCUCUGUAGCUGCAAAUUCUUCAGAUUGAGGUGCAACAGAAAAAUCAGCACAAAUUUUUGCCCUUCGUCACAAUUUCACAGAUUCAGCCUCACGGUAGAUCUUAGCAACCUCAGUGAAAGUUUUGUCCUCUCCUCGUUAAGCUAAGAGCUUUCACCUUUCACUUAAAAGAAGCAUUUCUUGGCUUCUCUUGGCGAGUUCAAAUUGCUGGGAUCCCUACUUUCUGGCUUUUGGGGCCGUAAAACAAUGUUUCCCUGCACAAAAGCACUGAAGCGGCUACAGGUGACUAACAGUUGGGAUACUCAGAGUGAUUCACGUCCUGGUCAGGACCACGCGAGAUUUGAUCACUAUUCUGAACGGCAAUUUAAAACUCAUGCAUUGGUUAUUUCUGGAAUUUUCCACUUGAUGUUUUCAGAUCCUUGUUGAUCAUGGGUAAUUGGAAUUGAAGGUAAGGAGGCAUACUGUAAUAAGAUGAUUUAUUAACCAAAUGUUAGCAGCAUUGUGGACUUCUUACUGUGCUAAGCUAUUGCUUCAAGUAUGUCCCAAAUUUACCAGUGAAGUUACUACACUGUGAACCAUAUGUGGCAUAAGGUAGUAAGUGGCUGUGGAAGAGCAGAUCUUGUAAUCUACAUAUAAAAUUUAACAAACCUUUCUUUAAAGGCAAACAAGCAAUUUGACUUCAUAUUUUACAGUUUUAGAACUAAAAUCCCAUUCUAUAAGAUGGCACUUCCUUGAUUUUACUUUACCCAUCUAGAUGAGCAAACUUCCUGCUUUAUAAGAAAACUGUUCUGGGUAACUAGUCCUAUAUACACCAGUGGCCUUAACCUACGCUCCUAAGAAUGUAGGUACAUCAGAGUGUAUGGGUGGGUGCAAGCAGCAGUGAGGCAUAACUGUUUUCAAAAGAACAAGGCCUGGUUCUUUGCUUCUUUUUUUUUCUUUCUUUUUUUUAUGAAAUUCGUUUUCUGUGCUAAUCUGCUGCUGGGUUUGUGCAUGAGAGCCUUAUUAGUGUUAGAAAAAGCAGUCCACCUCUGCAUAAUAUAGUUUUCCUUUAAGCAGCAUAACUUUGAGUGCAGUCACAGCCUUUCAAAUGGAC